UACGUAGGGUGCGAGCGUUAAUCGGACUUACUGGGCGUAAAGCGUGCGUAGGCGGUUCGUUAAGUUCGUUGUGAAAGCCCCGGGCUCAACCUGGGAACUGCAAUGGAAACUGGCGGGCUUGAGUGUGGCAGAGGGGGGUGGAAUUCCGCGUGUAGCAGUGAAAUGCGUAGAGAUGCGGAGGAACACCGAUGGCGAAGGCAGCCCCCUGGGCCAACACUGACGCUCAGGCACGAAAGCGUGGGGAGCAAACAGG
RNAcentral lists this ribosomal RNA (253 nucleotides) under uncultured bacterium. RNAcentral's name for it is "partial 16S ribosomal RNA". It matches the Rfam family "Bacterial small subunit ribosomal RNA", at positions 524 to 776 of the family's 1533-position model. The record is from RNAcentral.